GAACGCCGUAUGAGGUGAAAAUCUCACGUACGGUGUGGACUGGGGGAAAAGAUGGAGAUCAUAUCAAAAUCUUACCUAUCAGUAU
Molecule: non-coding RNA, 85 nt
Organism: Clostridium sp. CAG:470
Lineage: Bacteria; Bacillati; Bacillota; Clostridia; Eubacteriales; Clostridiaceae
Source: Rfam